AGGUGAAAAAGUGGAUAAAAAAUCCAAGGUGCACUGACACACAACAUGGGUGAUGGUAAUUCUGGUGUGGUAAUACGUUACUGUUGUUUCAAGUUUGAAUAAGAACAGACAUGUGCCAUAACUUUCCAUGAAUUGUUGAACUCUAUUGACCUUCUGCACAAAGCAGACAAACUGUUACACUGUGCUGACUGUACAUUAUUCCUUCCUUUCUUGCUGUAUGGACACAGCAGGGAGUGAAGUGAACCGCAGCUGUGAAGCCCUCCAGGAACAAAAUGAUCACCUUAAUAGAUCACCAGAUCAUUCAGAAACCUCCAGUGGGGCCACAUAUACAAGCAAGGACAGACAUUGAACACCAAUGUUCAAAAAAACUACAAAAAUAAUGAGGGCAGGCAAACAAGCCCUGUAACACAACAAAUGAACACCUGUCUAAAGCAUUACCUACAUAUCAACAAAUCGGGCCAAGAUUCACAUCUUCCUUGUACCAUGAGAGAGACGUGGGUCCAGUCUAGUACUGCCUGAGGCUUGGAGGAAGCACAGAGCAGAACAUCUUUAUGGUAGGUGGGUGUUGAUUCAUUUUUUGCAUUGUAGGCAUGCAUCUGUGCUUUAACUUGGAUGCUGGAAAUAGUGAAAAAUACAGUAGCAGUCAGGUGGUUUGGGGGUGGUUUUAAUUUGAAGGUUGUUAAGCUGCAUUCUGCACCAGUCACAGGGGUCUGAUGUUGUGCAAGGGCAGACUGGCAGAAGCUAAUUGCAGUAGUCCAGCUUCCAAAAACCAAAAGAGACUGAACAAGGACCUGAGAGGCAGUGUUGUGCUAGUUACUAAAAAAUAGUAACUAGUUACAAUUACUUCAUUCAAACUCAAUUACUUUGUUGAUUACUUACACUAAAAAGUAAUGCGUUA
This is a long non-coding RNA of Silurus meridionalis, 898 nucleotides long. RefSeq lists it as uncharacterized. The transcript is spliced from 3 exons. NCBI's taxonomy places the organism in Eukaryota, Metazoa, Chordata, Actinopteri, Siluriformes, Siluridae. The record is from RefSeq and is a predicted model, not a curated record.